UGGGGAAUAUUGGACAAUGGGCGCAAGCCUGAUCCAGCCAUGCCGCGUGAGUGAUGAAGGCCCUAGGGUUGUAAAGCUCUUUCACCGGUGAAGAUAAUGACGGUAACCGGAGAAGAAGCCCCGGCUAACUUCGUGCCAGCAGCCGCGGUAAUACGAAGGGGGCUAGCGUUGUUCGGAUUUACUUGGCGUAAAGCGCACGUAGGCGGACUAUUAAGUCAGGGGUGAAAUCCCGGGGCUCAACCCCGGAACUGCCUUUGAUACUGGUAGUCUUGAGUUCGAGAGAGGUGAGUGGAAUUCCGAGUGUAGAGGUGAAAUUCGUAGAUAUUCGGAGGAACACCAGUGGCGAAGGCGGCUCACUGGCUCGAUACUGACGCUGAGGUGCGAAAGCGUGGGGAGCAAACAGG
RNAcentral lists this ribosomal RNA (404 nucleotides) under Actinomycetes bacterium. RNAcentral's name for it is "Actinobacteria bacterium partial 16S ribosomal RNA". It matches the Rfam family "Bacterial small subunit ribosomal RNA", at positions 355 to 776 of the family's 1533-position model. The record is from RNAcentral. Lineage: Bacteria; Bacillati; Actinomycetota; Actinomycetes.